RNAcentral lists this ribosomal RNA (908 nucleotides) under uncultured bacterium. Its description in RNAcentral is "bacterial SSU rRNA". It matches the Rfam family "Bacterial small subunit ribosomal RNA", at positions 12 to 891 of the family's 1533-position model. The record is from RNAcentral.
UUUGAUCCUGGCUCAGGACGAACGCUGGCGGCGUGCUUAACACAUGCAAGUCGUACGAGACGAUUGAAAGCUUGCUUUUGAAAGUCGAGUGGCAAACGGGUGAGUAACGCGUAGACAACCUGCCGUAAAGAUGGGGACAACAGUCCGAAAGGACUGCUAAUACCGAAUGUUGUGGAACUUCCGCAUGGGAGCUCUACUAAAGAUGGCCUCUACUUGUAAGCUAUUGCUUUACGAUGGGUCUGCGUCUGAUUAGCUAGUUGGUGGGGUAACGGCCUACCAAGGCGACGAUCAGUAGCCGGUCUGAGAGGAUGAACGGCCACAUUGGAACUGAGACACGGUCCAGACUCCUACGGGAGGCAGCAGUGGGGAAUCUUCCGCAAUGGGCGCAAGCCUGACGGAGCAACGCCGCGUGAGUGAAGAAGGGUUUCGACUCGUAAAGCUCUGUUGUCGGGGACGAAUGUGGAGGUUGUGAAUAACAGCUUCCAAUGACGGUACCUGACGAGGAAGCCACGGCUAACUACGUGCCAGCAGCCGCGGUAAUACGUAGGUGGCGAGCGUUGUCCGGAAUUAUUGGGCGUAAAGGGAGCGCAGGCGGGAGGUCAAGUCUAUCUUAAAAGUGCGGGGCUCAACCCCGUGAGGGGAUGGAAACUGGUCUUCUUGAGUGCAGGAGAGGAAAGCGGAAUUCCUAGUGUAGCGGUGAAAUGCGUAGAUAUUAGGAGGAACACCAGUGGCGAAGGCGGCUUUCUGGACUGUAACUGACGCUGAGGCUCGAAAGCGUGGGGAGCGAACAGGAUUAGAUACCCUGGUAGUCCACGCCGUAAACGAUGAAUGCUAGGUGUAGGAGGUAUCGACCCCUCCUGUGCCGGAGUUAACGCAAUAAGCAUUCCGCCUGGGGAGUACGGCCGCAA